AUACGGAGGAUGCAAGCGUUAUCCGGAUUUAUUGGGUUUAAAGGGUGCGUAGGCGGUUUGCUAAGCGGGAGGUGAAAUGCCGGCGCUCAACGUCGGAAGUGCCUCCCGAACUGGUGGACUUGAAUGACUCUGCCGUGGGAGGAAUGUGUAGUGUAGCGGUGAAAUGCUUAGAGAUUACACAGAACACCGAUUGCGUAGGCAUCUCACGAAGGGUUGAUUGACGCUGAGGCACGAAAGCGUGGGGAUCAAACAGGAUUAGAUACCCUGGUAGUCCACGCAGUAAACGAUGAUGGCUAACCGCUGGGCUUAUCAGUUCAGUGGCCAAGCGAAAGCGAUAAGCCAUCCACCUGGGGAGUACGACCGCAAGGUUGAAACUCAAAUGAAUUGACGGGG
This 393-nucleotide ribosomal RNA is filed under the name uncultured bacterium. RNAcentral's name for it is "partial 16S ribosomal RNA". It matches the Rfam family "Bacterial small subunit ribosomal RNA", at positions 523 to 918 of the family's 1533-position model. The record is from RNAcentral.